AUCGCUUCUCGGCCUUUUGGCUAAGAUCAAGUGUAGUAUCUAAUGGGGUGGCUGCUGGGAUGAGACACAGAGGAGUCAAGGAUGACACUAG
Molecule: small nuclear RNA, 91 nt
Filed under: Mus musculus (house mouse)
Lineage: Eukaryota; Metazoa; Chordata; Mammalia; Rodentia; Muridae
Description: predicted gene, 56370 (ENSMUSG00002076687.1)
Rfam family: U2 spliceosomal RNA
About the family: U2 is a small nuclear RNA (snRNA) component of the spliceosome (involved in pre-mRNA splicing). Complementary binding between U2 snRNA (in an area lying towards the 5' end but 3' to hairpin I) and the branchpoint sequence (BPS) of the intron results the bulging out of an unpaired adenosine, on the BPS, which initiates a nucleophilic attack at the intronic 5' splice site, thus starting the first of two transesterification reactions that mediate splicing.
Source: RNAcentral